Molecule: long non-coding RNA, 439 nt
Filed under: Capsicum annuum
Lineage: Eukaryota; Viridiplantae; Streptophyta; Magnoliopsida; Solanales; Solanaceae
Description: long non-coding RNA (CANN_LNC001915)
Source: RNAcentral
UGCCGUAGAAAUUUCAAAGAAAGCUACAUCACACAAAUUAUGUGGACCUAUUUUAUUAAAAAAGAAUACUUUAUUGGAUCAAUAAUUGAUCUAGCCAAGUAUAUUUAAGUAGCCAAAAGAAUAGAGAAUGUCAUUCUCAAACAUUAGAUACCAUUAAGUCACAUAAUAGAAUAUGUUAAUUGAUUGACAGUGUAACAGGUGUGCAAACUCUACUAUGUUUUUGAAUCUGUGUGGUUUCUUUAUAACUUUACAUAUGAGGAAUAAGGUUAGGAUGGAAAUCUAGUAUGCAUACAGCGCCUUACAUAGUGUGCUAGGUCGAGCCAAUUUUGCACGAUAAUUUACCUGCUGAUGGAAGACAGUGCAGGAUCCCAGACGUGACAUAUUAACCAUAUAUUCAAUCCAUUGCAUGAUCAAGAAAUCAAGAAAUGUUUGCUUUGUG